RNAcentral lists this long non-coding RNA (5068 nucleotides) under Vigna radiata. Its description in RNAcentral is "long non-coding RNA (VRAD_LNC014690)". Lineage: Eukaryota; Viridiplantae; Streptophyta; Magnoliopsida; Fabales; Fabaceae. The record is from RNAcentral.
GGCAAUUCUCAUUGUAAAUCACUUUGGAAAUUAUAUGAGAAAUCCUUUCUUCUGCUGAUGCCAAUAUCCAGCACGGGAAACUCUCUGCCAAAGUCACUUCUCACGGCCUUUCCCCUCUCCAUCUAACUUUCUUCCUCUAGAAGACCAUUAGAGCUAGUAUCACUCACCAUAGGCUCAACCUCCAUCACCGAUAUCCCCCUAAAAUCCACCUCUGUAUGCUGUUGUCAAACCGCAAGCAUUACCUCCGCUGCAUCUAAUUUAGAUUUCAUCUUUGGAUCACCUUCUAACAUCUCUUCCGCUGCCUUCAAUAUUCAUCCAUGGCUGGAGCAUCUGUAUCAUUUGGUAAUCAGAGCAAGGUUACGCUCCAAAUAAGUUCAUUCCCUUGAUUCCAAACUGUCAAUCAAUUCCGCACUGUCAUAGCUUCAUGCGUGUACUGUUUGAUUGAUUUUUGUUCUGUUUUUCUAUGUAAGUGAAUGUUUGAUUUGUUCACAAUCAAUAAAUGCUAGUUUUAUCAUUUUAAUCGGUGCCUUCUCUUGUUUGAAGUCUCAUCCUAUCGUUUAAUCAUUUUCCAGUCGUGUUGAGUCAUGUGCAACGUUGUUGUUGUUUUAAAAUUGUCAAUCAGUUUUUUGACUUUGUUUCAGCGUGAAUAUUUUUUAUUUUAAUUGUGUUGAGCAUUAGCUAAUUCUAUGUUGAUCAUAUAAGGCAAUGGAGUUUCAUCCAGCCUUGAUCAUUUGAAUAAAAGCGAUGCCAAUAGUGUUUUCAGCAGCAGAUCUGUACUGCAACUCUGUUUUUAACAUGUUUUUUUUUGCUGGUUUUUACUGAUGCACGUUACUGUAUCCAGAUUUAAUGGUUGAACACCUUUUCCAAAUCUGUUUGAUGAUGCUACAAGUAUCUAAAGAUAUUACAACAUCUAUUCAUCACAUAUUUUCUAUUUGAGUAGUUAAAUUACUCAAAAUCUGGAUUAAGAAUGUGUUGUUGUCAUUGUUAUAACCUAUAGCUUGGCACCGUGCUAAUUGUCCUUGGUUGUGUCAUAGGAUCUCUAAAAUCCACUAGCUUGAUUUUCUCAAGCUAGAUCUUGAGUUAGGAUUCAUUAUUUUACCAAAUUGUUGGUCUGAAAACUUUGCAUCCACCAAAACUUACUGUACCGUUCUGCAUUUUAUUGAUUUCUGCAUAAUUUGGCAACUCAAGUGGUGAAAUUGUGCAUCUACUAUUUUCUGUGCAUUGAACACAUUUGGACAACUUUAUUUGACCAUUUAAAAUGUGUCUACAUUGUUUUUCUGGUCAUUCUUCCAACAAUGCACAAAAUCAUCAUGCCACUUCCCAAUUUUGAGUAAAUUUCUCAACUAGUGCAGUCAUAAUCUAAAUUCAAUUGUGUUUCCACUGUUUUCUUGAUUGAACACUCAUAUAAAGUGAAUUCAAAUGUGUCUUCACUGUUCAUAUGGUCAAAUAUGCACUUAUUCAUAGAAAAACCAAUUAAACCACUAGAUUUUGACCAAUUUUGGAAGUGUAGCAGUGGAAUUCUGUUGUGAUUAAUUUCUUGGCUGCAUAAAUGAUUGUACAUUAUCCUUUUCAUCAUAUAAACAUGCUAGAAAUCAUAAAACAUAGAAUAUUACAGUAGCCUUGCUGUUUUCAAAAUUUCCAGCCAUCAAAAAUAGUGCAUACAACUUUGAUAUGCAGUUUAACUUGAGUUGAGUCUUGAUUGGAGUGUUUGGGAUUGGCAAGAGCUGGGAUAACUUUUCUCUAUUCUUUUACUACCAUUGUACCUUGCAAGUAAAUAUUAAAAAGCUAAUCAUCCCUGCAAUCCCUAUUGAACCCGUAACAGCAAAGGCAGAAAACUCAAUUUCUGCAUUCUUUGAGUCAUUUCAUCGAACAGUUUGCCAAAUUUUGUGAAAUCAUCAUCAAUUCGUUAAACUGCAACAUGUUUUUUUUUUCUUGCUUUUUAAAUCCAAUCUAGAGCAUGUCUUAAGUUCCUUUUGAGUGCUACCUUUGUUCAUAGCCUUAAUUGCUAGUUUUUCAUUGUUUGAAAUUCCUGCACUGAAACUGUUUGAUCAAAUGACAGCAGUGCAACCUGGUUGUGAUAUUUUGAUUAAUAGUAGUAUCGGUGAUGGAGGUUGAGCCUAUGGUGAGUGAUACUAGCUCUGACGGUCUUCUAGAGGAAGAAAGCUAGAUGGAGAGGGGAAAGGCCGUGAGAAGUGACUUUGGCAGAGAGUUUCCCGUACUGGAUAUUGGAAUCAGCAUAAGAAAGGAUUUCUCAUAUAAUUUCCAAAGUGAUUUACAGUGAGAAUUGCCAUGGAUUUAUAGAAUCAUCCAUCAAGCUACAGCGUGGCAAUGAUGGCCGUAAUAUGUGGAUCUAAUGCCACGUGUAGAUCAAAGAAAUGUGUUGUGUGUGUUCUAGAAUAAGCACGUAAUACAUGUGUUGAAAAAGAAGUCUUCAUGUGUUUCCAAGUUGCAACCCCUUCAUUACUAAUCUCACCCCCUUCCUUUGUGGAAAUGACUCUUUUACCCUUCUCCUUGGGUUGGGUUGUUGGUCUUUAUUUAUUGGGCUUGGGCCCCGCGUAUCACUCUUGGACAGGCAUGGGAUAGAUUUAAAGGCUUGUUGAGAAAGACCCCAGUCCAUGGGUUUGAUAAGACCUCAUAUUUACUUGCUUUCCUUGGAGGCCUACGCACUCAGUCUAAGAUGAUGUUAGAUGCUGCAACUGGAGGCAGUAUAAACAGAAAGACUGAGGAUGAAGCUUAUGAUUUGAUAGAAAUUAUGGCUGACAAUGAAGAAACACAUGGUGUAUACGUUGAUGAUGUUAAAGAAUUUUCGAUGAUACAAAAUAAUAUAAUCGCACAGCAGUGGGAGAAAGUGACAAGAACACUUGCUGAUUUAUCACAGGCAGUUAUAGAAGCUUCAUUUGCCGCACAAAAGCUUCCUUUCACACCUAUUCAGAGAAGUGCAGAAUCUGAAGAAACUUUCCAGAGAAUUAUGAAGAGAAGUGUAUUUGUUGUUGAUUGCGUGGAGAAAAGUAAAGGGGAAGAAGCAUGUGAGAUUGUUACUAGAAGCGGGAGAAUUUUAAAAGAAAGAGAGGUUGAGAAAAAAGAAAAAGAAAAAGAAAGUGUCGAAGAAAAUAAUGGUCAAAGGGAGGAGUGUGAGAUAGAGAAAAAUAUGAUGAACAAGAAGCAGGAAGAGGAAGCUGAAAAAUUUAAAGAGAAGGAGUAUGAAAACCCACUGUUGUACCCGAAAAUAUAUUCCAGAAAAGAGAAAGAGAAAUAAUUCGAGCGUUUUAUGGAGAUUUUCAAGAAAUUGGAAAUAACUAUGCCAUUCUCGGAGGCACUCCAGCAAAUACCAUCUUAUUCAAAGUUUUUGAAAGAAAUCAUUACGAAAAAAAGAAAGUAUGCUAAAAAAGAAACAAUUGAGGUAGAAGGGAAUUGCAGCGCUAUCAUCCAAAGGUCAUUACCUCCUAAAUUACCUGAUCCAGGGAGUUUCACUAUUCCUUGUACUAUUGGAGAGUUAGAGGUUGGGAAAGCUUUGAUUGAUCUAGGAGCUAGUAUAAAUUUGAUGCCUCUUUCCAUGUUCAAAAAGAUAAAAGGGUUAGAGAUCAAACAAACAAGAAUGGUUCUUCAAUUAGCAGACAAAUCCCUCAACUACCCUUAUGGAAUUGCUGAAGAUGUGAUAGUUAAGGUUGAUAAAUUUGUAUUUCCAGUAGACUUUGUUAUUAUGGAGAUGGAAGAAAAUGGAGAUGCACCUUUGAUUCUCGGACGACCCUUCAUGAAAAAUGCCAGAAUUGUCAUUGAUGUUGAAAAGGGGAAGCUUAAAGUCCAGGUACAAGAUGAAGAGGUGAACUUUGAUGUGUUUCAAGCAAUGUCACAUCCCAAAGAUGAUAAGUCAUGCUUUCAGAUCGAUAUUGUGGAAGAACUCUGUAUGAAGCAAGGAAAUAGAGUUCGUAACGCAUCCAUGUUAAAAAGGACUUUGAUCAACGAAUGUGAGGAUUUGAACGAAGAGGAGGAUAAAAUGCAGUAGAAAUGUGUUCAGGAAUUGGAAACAGGAAAAGAAGUUCCAGCAGAAAAAUUCCUUUUUGAACAGAUGGAGCUUAAAGAAAAAAUUCCAAAAGGUAAGGUUGAACUGAAGGAGUUGCCAUCACAUUUGAAAUAUGUGUUUUUGGAAGAUAAUGCAAGAAAGCCAGUCAUUAUUAGUACUUCAUUAUCUCCGGAAGAAGAAGGAAAGUUGGUGGGGGUUCUAAAAGCAAAUAAAGGUGCCAUAGGCUGGUCAAUUGUUGAUCUCAAAGGUAUAAGUCCAACUUAUUGUAUGCAUAGAAUUUUGAUUGAAGAUGAUUAUAAGCCUGUAGCUCAACCACAAAGGAGACUUUAUCCUGUCAUGAAAGAAGUUGUGAGAAAGGAGGUUUUGAAGCUGUUAGAAGCAGGAAUUAUUUAUCCUAUUUCUGAUAGCCAAUGGGUGAGUCCAGUUCAAGUCGUACCAAAGAAAGGAGGGAUGACUGUCAUUCAUAAUGAAAAGAAUGAGCUUAUUCCUACAAGGACAGUCACUGGGUGGCGGAUGUGCAUUGACUACAGGAGAUUAAAUACAGCCACCCGGAAAGAUCAUUUUCCCUUACCUUUUUUGGAUCAAAUGUUAGAAAGAUUGGUUGGACAAGCUUAUUAUUGCUUUCUUGAUGGAUAUUCUGGAUAUAACCAAAUAAUGGUGGACCCUGAAGAUCAAGAGAAAACAACUUUUACAUGUCCAUUUGGUAUAUUUGCAUACAAAAAGAUGUCGUUUGGGUUGUGUAAUGUUCCAGCCACAUUUCAGAGGUGUAUGCAAGCAAUCUUUGCUGAAUUCAUGGAAAAGAGCAUCGAAGUCUUCAUGGACGAUUUUUCAGUUUUUGGGGAUACCUUUCAAAGAUGUUUGACCAACUUGGAUGUUGAUGAAGGUUGAACAACAAUUAUUUUCAUAUGUCAUUUUAGACCUAAUUACGCCCUUUGCUACAUAGAAUGAACCUAGAAUCAAGCAAAACUCAAUAAAUGAGUUUGUAGAGAGUCAAAAGUUGUUUUUAGCGAUAUUAUGCUUGUUUUGCAUUGUUUUGUAGCUAUUUUG